CGGACCCUUCUAUAUCUCCGUUUCGUUAGUUCCUGCGCUAGUUUCUGUACUAGUUUUAUCUUUAUUAUUUGUUCCUCUAUAGGAAUUGUUAUCAGCAAUUGAUCUUUCGUUGUCACUAUCAUUAGAGGCGUUAACACUAUCUACAGUGUUUCUUUCUGUUGGAAAGGUAUCCAAAAAAGGAAGUCCAAGCAAAUACCACUUUGUUUAUUUUAUACUUACUUCUGAUUCCGUUGGUAUUUUAUUUUUGCGCUUGGUUCUUUUAUACGAAACUUAAAAAUAACAAUCAAAAAUGAAAUAUAUAAAAACUCUUACAAUGAGCCAACAGGAUCAACACUGACUACUUCACUAAACUGUACACGUUGGAAAAUUGUGUGCAGUUUAGUGAAGCAGUGCGUUUUCCUCCCGUUGGCUCAUUGGUAAAAGUUUAUAUAUUUUAUUUUAUUUUUGAGUCAACAUUCAAGAUUGUCACGGUCAUAUUCUAAAAUCGCUCGCAUAUUAGAGUUAAAUGCUUGCAACUAUAAUUAAAACAGAAAUUGAUCUCUCUUGCAGAUAAUUGAGCACAAUUUUCACACGCAACUUACCGCAUAUACACCGGAUACGAUUUCAGAAAAGCUAUCGUUUUUUAAUUAUUCAUUCCACGCCUAGUAAUUAACAUAAUUGUCAUAAUUCAUUUAAAACUAUCAACGCCAUUACAGUUAUUUAUAAACUAUCUUGCAUUCCAUCAGUCAAUAUAAAAUCGGUUGAGGUAAACUAAUAUUUCCAUUUAUCUUAUACAGAGGAAUUGUGCUUUAACAACUCGAGUUAGAAGUAGGUGAAACUAACGAACACGUUUGGUAUUGCAAAACCAAUUUGUAGCAAUAUAAGUUUCGAGUAAAGAAACAACAAAGUAAUGGAACUAACCAAAUCCUAUCUGAACCAAAUUGCUUUAUCCCGGAAUCAUUGCCUUAUUUGAUUAAUCUGAUCGUGAGGUAAAGGGAAGAAUUACAUUUGUUGUGUUGUCGACUUUCAAUUUAGAAAUGUAAGCACUCCAUUUUUAUGUUUUAUUCAAGAGAUCGAAAACUUUUUUAUUUGCAUUGUUCAUUUCCUUUGAAUGUAUCUAUAGUUGAGUGUCUUUACACAAUAUAGCUAAGUGGUCACGUUUCCGAUCGCUGUUAUUCAAUAGAUUCGUUCGUUUUCUCGCUUCCAUUUAUAUCAAAACUGUUAUUUCGGGAGAAUGUGUAUUAUUUUAUUAUGAAGGCUAAUAAUCGAUAAACAAAAAUGUUAAGGGGAGCUGUGAUAGUACACUUGCUAAUCCGACAGGUCCUUAACGUAGGUGUAGUUUGACCCUAAAUUUCUAAUGAAAAUUUGCCUCAAUAUAACUCAUAACUAACCCUAACCCUACGUUAAAGCCUUUAACGAUAUUGCAAGUUCCUCAAACACAUAGGUAGUUGUUUUAUUAUAUAAACUUCGUCAUUUCAAAGUUUAUGUUGUAAACGCAUGUCGGAUGGGAUAGAGUGCGUAAGACACGUGUUUAUCGGACGACGCUAAAUAAAAUGCUGUCUAGUAGAGUAGAUAGAUUUAUUUGCAAUAUAUACAGGUGCGUGCGUGCUGAAGAUGAAACGGCGGAGUUCCGUAAAGCCCAUGUCACAUUAUCAAACAGUUUGAUAAACUAGUUUGAUCAAACUGGACUAUUGACGUCACAAUUUUGUAAUUUGAUGAAAGUUUCAAACUAGGUGGUCACACUAAACACCUCCGUUUGUUCAAAUUGUUUUUGUUCUGUGUUUCAAACUACAGUAAAAUUUGAGGUUGUGUUUGUAUUUUGAUAAUUUCAAAUUUAUAAAACAAUGAAUACAAAAUUGGUUGCAAUGUUAUCUCUAUUGGGGCUAACCUUAAUUACAUACAAUAGUUAUAAAAGGCAAAUUAGCAAGAAAAAACGGUUAUGGUCAAAGUCAUGGCUUCUAAAAAGAAACAAAGGUGUUGGUCGAGGUGUAUUGGCAAUGGUCAGAAAUGAGUUGAACUAUUAAUGGUCUGCAUUGCUAGGAAAAUUACCUACGAAUGGAUAAUAUAGUUUUUAAUAAUUUACUCAAUAUGAUGAGACCUGUCAUUGCCAAACAAAAUACAAGACUUCGAGAAAGUAUAAGUGCAGAAGACAGGUAGGUUUUUUUUAAAUAUGUUGUUUUUAGUAGACAUGGCUAUUAUAAUUAACAGAUUAAUGGUUACUCUUUGCUUUGGUUUUUGUUAAUAAAUAAAUAAUAAGAUCCUGCUUGAACUUAUUUUAAUAAUCGCCAAUCGUUAAGUACACGUUUUUGCAUCACUCAACAUUGCAGUGUUGCCAAUCCUCUAACAUCCUCUCUCUUAAGAUUAGAACAUUAGGAUUAUAUAAUAUUAUUCAGAAUAACUUUUUGGUCUUCUAAUGACCCUGCCUGACCUGGACGUUACUUCGCUACUUUGUGGUGUAAUCUCCAAACCAGGUAAGAUACUAUUCUCAAUUCUAACAGGUUCACAUUCGCUAACAUGACUAUCUAGAUACACAUCCUUGUAAUCAUUUUCAACCUUUCUAAUCUUAAUUAUAAAUUUCCUGUUUCUCUCUAAGAUUCUACCACUAUCUAAUUUUACAAUGUAACAUCUUGGCCUGCUGGCUUUAUUUACAGUGAUACCUUUUUUCCAAUCCUUACUUUCUAAAUCUAUCUUAACUUUAACUACAUCAUUGAUUUUCAACUCUUCCAAAUCUCUAGCAUUCCUAUCAUACCUGUCCCUUUCUUUUUCCUUUUGUUUUUCGAAUGUUCUUUUAAUUACCUUAUUACUAACUACUUGUUUUCCUAAAAUUUUAUUUGUCACAGGUAUUAUACCACGCAGUCUACGUGAAUUCAAUCCUAGAAGGUGAAGGAAGUUCAUUUGAAAUAGGAGUAUUCCGGUAUUCCAGCAUUGCAAGGAGUAUGGCUAACAUCUCUUUCUCGAUUUGAGCAUACCCUAUCUGUGUUGGUGUAAAGGCUCGUGACAUAUACGCCACUGGUUUGCUUCCCUGUAGUAGAACAGCUGCGCACCCAUUUUGCGAGGCAUCACAUGAAAUUGUUAAUGGUUUUUCUACAGGGUGGUGCCUAGCGCAACGCAGCAUAAGGAUUUCAAUGAUCACCCUGUAUGGCAAACGGAACUUUCCUGGCUGCAUGUAUUACCGGCUGGACUCCAGGAUCAACAGUUAUAUGGUAUGGCAACUUUGGGUCGGCUUCAAUAGAAUUCACCUUUGCCCUUACAAUCAAUUGAAAUGUACAACAAGCAUCUAAACCUAUAGUCCGGGAGCCAGCUGACAUUUGAGGGUCGUUAUAGUAAGAAAGCUGGAAAUUUUUUUUGGCGUCUAUUUAGAUGCACUGAUUAACGAAAUAAACGUCAGCUGGCUAGAUAGCGGUGGGGGUAGCCGUAGCAGCCACCCACGCAUGUAUAAUAAAAAUAAACUUAAAAUCAUAGUAAGAAAGAUGAAUCUUUGUAGGCUCGUUUAUUAGCCUAUGUAUAAAUGAAAAAAAAUAGUCAGCUGACUGCACCGCGGUGGAUUAUACGUCAGCUGAUUGGAUAAACAUGUAAAAAAAAAACGUUAGAUAAAAUUAAAGUAAGAAAGCUGAAUUUUGGUGAAAUAAUAGUUUACUACAUCAGUUUUGAGAAAAAAAUACUCCGCUGCAAUUUCCA
This is a long non-coding RNA of Photinus pyralis (common eastern firefly), 3657 nucleotides long. RefSeq lists it as uncharacterized. NCBI's taxonomy places the organism in Eukaryota, Metazoa, Arthropoda, Insecta, Coleoptera, Lampyridae. The record is from RefSeq and is a predicted model, not a curated record. The transcript has 4 exons.